UACGUAGGGUGCAAGCGUUAAUCGGAAUUACUGGGCGUAAAGCGUGCGCAGGCGGUUAUAUAAGACAGAUGUGAAAUCCCUGGGCUCAACCUAGGAACUGCAUCUGUGACUGUAUAGCUAGAGUACGGUAGAGGGGGAUGGAAUUCCGCGUGUAGCAGUGAAAUGCGCAGAUAUGCGGAGGAACACCGAUGGCGAAGGCAAUCCCCUGGACCUGUACUGACGCUCAUGCACGAAAGCUAGGGGAGCGAAAGGG
Molecule: ribosomal RNA, 253 nt
Filed under: uncultured bacterium
Lineage: Bacteria
Description: partial 16S ribosomal RNA
Rfam family: Bacterial small subunit ribosomal RNA
Source: RNAcentral